GUGUCAGCCGCCGCGGUAAUACGUAGGUGGCAAGCGUUGUCCGGAUUUACUGGGCGUAAAGCGCGUGUAGGCGGCUCGUUAAGUCUGUCGUGAAAUCUCCCGGCUUAACCGGGAUAGGUCGACGGAUACUGGCGGGCUUGAGGGGAGCAGAGGAAGGUGGAAUUCCCGGUGUAGUGGUGAAAUGCGUAGAUAUCGGGAGGAACACCAGUGGCGAAGGCGGCCUUCUGGGCUCUACCUGACGCUGAGACGCGAAAGCGUGGGGAGCGAACCGGAUUAGAUACCCGGGUAGUCCACGCCGUAAACGAUGGAUACUAGGUGUGGGGGGUAUCGACCCCCUCCGUGCCGAAGCUAACGCUCUAAGUAUCCCGCCUGGGGAGUACGGCCGCAAGGCUAAA
This 395-nucleotide ribosomal RNA is filed under the name uncultured bacterium. RNAcentral describes it as "bacterial SSU rRNA". It matches the Rfam family "Bacterial small subunit ribosomal RNA", at positions 505 to 898 of the family's 1533-position model. The record is from RNAcentral.